RNAcentral lists this transfer RNA (72 nucleotides) under Candidatus Gottesmanbacteria bacterium. RNAcentral's name for it is "tRNA-Arg". It matches the Rfam family "tRNA". From Rfam's summary of the family: Transfer RNA (tRNA) molecules are approximately 80 nucleotides in length. Their secondary structure includes four short double-helical elements and three loops (D, anti-codon, and T loops). Further hydrogen bonds mediate the characteristic L-shaped molecular structure. tRNAs have two regions of fundamental functional importance: the anti-codon, which is responsible for specific mRNA codon recognition, and the 3' end, to which the tRNAs corresponding amino acid is attached (by aminoacyl-tRNA synthetases). tRNAs cope with the degeneracy of the genetic code in two manners: having more than one tRNA (with a specific anti-codon) for a particular amino acid; and 'wobble' base-pairing, i.e. permitting non-standard base-pairing at the 3rd anti-codon position. Lineage: Bacteria; Candidatus Gottesmaniibacteriota. The record is from RNAcentral.
GCUCUCGUAGCUCAAUGGAUAGAGCAGAGGUUUCCUAAACCUCCGAUGUAGGUCCGAUUCCUAUCGAGGGCA